This is a long non-coding RNA of Solea senegalensis (Senegalese sole), 3078 nucleotides long. RefSeq lists it as uncharacterized. The transcript has 5 exons. The record is from RefSeq and is a predicted model, not a curated record. Lineage: Eukaryota; Metazoa; Chordata; Actinopteri; Pleuronectiformes; Soleidae.
GCCUUGGACUGGCAGGAAGCUUUGAAAAGAGUAAUUAAGUGACAGUAGUUGAAGCGCCAAUGUGUAUCUUCUGUUGCUCAAAAGAAACUGCUCGCUUUGCCAUCCGUGUGCAGUGUGGGAAUGUUGCAGGGGGACAUGAAAACAAAACACCGCUAUGCUGAGAAACUCGGUGUAAAGCCGACGUUUUUUAUAUUUUUGUAGGAAAGUCUACUGGUUUUCUGUAAUAUUACGUAUCUAGCCCAUUUACAUCUUUGUUACGUUUUAGUUUGACCUAGUAUGCUUUCUAUACUUACGUUACGUCAUAUCCUCUUAACAACAAGGUACGUUGAUUCCGAGUUGUGAGGAAACUAUGGUGGAUACCAGCCGUUCAUGCAGAAACGAGGGGCCAGAGGCUCUGGUGGUUUGCUCUCCAUGACCAAAGACUGGGUGAUGACCGUCGACUUGGAGAGGCAACAGAAGAUACCAUUAAACAUCAUCCAGACCACACUGUGACCUGAUACCUUAAGUCUCAGAGGCUACAAGGCAGCUGACACUGUUAGAGCUAAUGGUGCCCUGGGCAGAGAGGAUGGAGGAGGCUCAAGAAAGGAAGAGGGAGAAAUAUAACGAGCUGUAGAGGGCUGUCAGAGCAAGGGGCAGAUGACGAGGUGUAUGCCAGUGGAGGUGGGCAGUCAGGGAUUUGAUAGCCAUUUCCUGAAUAAGGCCUAUGGUAUCCUGGGUAUAAUUGGCAUCAGCAGGCAGCAGAGAAAGCUUCAAGAUGGCUCUGGCGAAAGAGGGGGGAGAAGUUGACGCCUGGACGGGGAUGUCCGUUGCAGGACCCAAAACACCCAGUGACACAAGGAAACAACACUGAAGAUAGUUUGCAUAAUGUAACUGAGUGGAAAUGUAAGUGUGUUUCUCUGGGUAACAAACAGGAGGUUGUGAAGGACAGCUAUUUUCUGCAUUUACCACAUAUAAAUGUGACAGUUUCUACAGCUGUUAGUUGCAAAAGAUUGGGCGAUGCCUUUUCACAAGUUUGGAUUCAAGUACUUUUGUAAUGUGUGUGGCGUCAGGACUACCUUGCCUUGCUGAUGAAGUUGUACGUGUGUGGCCAGUGGCAGAGCAGGUCAGUGGCUUCAACAUCGUGCACUCUGAUGUUCAUGUAAGUGAAAGACUCUGGGAAAAAGUUGUCGAUCUCUCUGGUCACAUUCAAAAUGUAGCCGACACUGAAAAACACACAGAGACACUUAAACCUAGAGCCUCGGCAGGGACUCUCUCGUGUGAUGAGAGAAUGGAAACCGAAGACAACAGCAAGAGCGCACAGAGCUACGGGAAACGUUGAAGGUGAAAACACUGACUUGUUUUUCUGCAGCUCCUCAAAGUUGGCUGCGUUCCACUCAGAACCCUGAAACCAGAUAAAAGGAGACUUUCAACUCAGGCCACAGAGGAAGAAAAGCAAAGGACCUUCACAGCCGUCUUCCCCAUUGCUGUCAACACAUGACUUGCAAAGGGGAAGUCACAGUCACGCACAACGUCCUGGUGAAAACUGAAAGCACACUUCCUUCAGUUUACUGACCAAGACAGAGCAAAGACUUCACAUGAUGAACUUUUAAUUAAACGCUGCUAUCUUGGAAGCCGAGCAGUCACUCACCAGGUCUCAUAUCAAAGCCUACUCUGGACUCUAGGGAAGUCUUCACCUACAGGAGAGCAGAGGAGAGAUGUGAUGUUGUCCAGAUCCUCAGUCCUCAUAAUGUCUCUCAGGUGCUCUUUGAUCAGCGCCUCCUUGAUAAACCUGUGUGUCACUCCAUACCGGCAAAACCAAGCCGAUGGUGCACUGAUCGCUGCAAAGAAGUGGUGAGGAACACAAAUUGAAGUCUAAAGUCCAGCUGAACAAGACUUUGUUAACCUGACCGGCAUGGUGGUUACACACACCUGUCUAAGUUGGGGAAAUCUAUGCCCAGCAGGAUGCUCUCAUGUUUGCUGCCAAGGGUCGAAACGACAAUCAGGUACCGAACUCUGGCAGGGUUGAUGGACUCCAACUGCACCGCCUGUAUAUGAGGGUGCAGAGGAUGUUUGAGACAGAAAAAGAGAGGCAACAAGCAACUGAUGCUCAAAAUCAAUGUUUUAUCUGUGCAACGCGUGCAGUUUUUUCUCAUGGUGUCCAUUCAUCUUAAUCAACUUGGCUGAUUGCACUAUUUUCCUUGGCCUUACUGGAAAAGUCACAACAGGGAAGUGAGUGUAAUGGUUUGAGGGAAAUCCAAAUACUGGCUACAAUCUACCUACAUGUAUGUUAUUUUUUAGCUCAUUAUCUGAAGAAAAUAUUGUUUCUUCAGAUAAUUUAAUUUGUUGUUUCUAAUGCCCAUUUAGAUGAUAAUGUUGGAUAAAUGUCUCUUCAUAAUUCAUCUUUCAGUGCAGCUGAAACAAUAUCGCACCCUCUCAAAUUAAGUUCACUUAAUCCUUUUGGACGUUUUAUAAAUAUGAUGACCUUCCAACUUCCAGUUAUAACUGUUCUAUUUUUACUUUGUUUAGUCUUCAAUGUCAAAUUUUACCUUUUGGUUACAUUUUGGUUACAUUUUGGUCAUUUGGUUCAAGCCUUUUUUUAUGAAUCGUUUUUGUUUCUUUUGAUGUCUUUUUUUGUCUAUGUUGUUAUUGGUUUUUCUUCCUCUAUUGUCUCUCUGUGUCCUUUACCUGAUAUUGUAGUUUUUGAUUGCCCCUCAAUGAUUUCUUGAGUAAAAUUACAGUUGUAUGUCUGCAUAUCUAUGUAUCUCAACACAUAUUGAGAUUUAAUGAUCUGAUGUGCAGCUUCAGAACAACACCAGUCCUUACCAGCUGGAUGGUAUCUUCUGGCCUGAGCUGCUCAAUCAUGGCAUGCAGAUGUCUGUGUCGAGUGUCUGAAGCUCCACCGCUAUGCUUCACUGGGGAAGAUGGAGUGGGAGGGGUCUCAUCAUGGCUGUCUACUUCCUCGCCUUCUUCUAGCAGAAGCACCGCCCCCUUCACGAGGGCAAAGCUCUCCCUGGAUGCAGACAGAAAUUCGUUAGUUUGUCAUUAAGUGGCCGGUUAUCGUUCUGUUAUGAGUGAAAUUAAAUGUCAGUUCAGAGAGGA